CCUGCCUCAUAAAAAGCUUCAAAAUUAAUUCAUCCUAGCCAAUUCUAAUCAGCCAAAAAAUUGCAGGCCAAACAAAUAUAUUAUUGGUAACUAUAAGUCAACAUAUUCAGGUUCAAAUAAAAAGAGUUUUCUCAAGAUUCUUCUUUGCUUAAUUUACCAAGAGCUCUUUGUGCAUAUAGUUGUUUUUCCCUAGCUUCUUUAGCAGCAAGAGCUUCCUCAUCAAGUACUUGAAUGGGAGACCACUCAGGUAACUUCAGCCAACCACCUUUCUUCUCUUUGUCCCCAUAUAUGGAUUCUCUGAAGCUGGUCACUGUGGGUCUUAGCUUAAUCGUAACAAAAUCCACCAUUGUUCCCACAACAGUAAAGAUGAUCGAGUAACGGAAGGCACCGAAUUGACCACCUUGAAGACGUCCAAGAAGAGCACCACUACCAAACCCUGCAAUUGCAGAGUUCAUUAGAUCAUCAGGCUCUGAUUUCCGUGUUACCCUUACAAAUUCACGUGCCCCGCAAUAGCAACCAGUGACAAUGGCAAAAUUAGUAGCAUAAGUAGCAGAAAUGUUAGCGAGUCCAUGAACUUUUCGAUACUUAGACACCAACCCAACUCCUCCACCCGCAAUCCCUCCGAGAAGAGUGGGUAUGAAUAUACGCUCCUUCCAAUUUUCAGAUAAGGAAGAAGAUGAAGCUGGAGGCAAGGGCCGUUGAGGUGGAUCGCCUGAUACCAUUUUUAAGAAAGAGUUUAAGAAAGAGAAAAUCUAUUUCAGCUGAUGACUCAAUUGGGCAAAUCGGUGAUGAUUUCGUGAAAAAUCUUGGCAGAGAAUAGAGAUGGAGGGAAAAGGCAG
RNAcentral lists this unclassified non-coding RNA (839 nucleotides) under Hevea brasiliensis (rubber tree). Lineage: Eukaryota; Viridiplantae; Streptophyta; Magnoliopsida; Malpighiales; Euphorbiaceae. The record is from RNAcentral.